RNAcentral lists this unclassified non-coding RNA (219 nucleotides) under Thelephoraceae sp. 'Taylor #2'. Its description in RNAcentral is "ITS2". Lineage: Eukaryota; Fungi; Basidiomycota; Agaricomycetes; Thelephorales; Thelephoraceae. The record is from RNAcentral.
AACACCUCAACUCUCAUGGCUUGCCAUGACGAGCUUGGACUUUGGGGGUCUUGCCGGCCUGCGGUCGGCUCCUCUCAAAUGAAUCAGCUUACCAGUGUUUGGUGGCAUCACAGGUGUGAUAACUAUCUACGCUUGUGGUUUUCCACCAGGUAACCUUCAGUGAUGGAGGUUUGCUGGGGCUCAUAAAUGUCUCUCCUCAGUGAGGACAGCUCUUUGAAC